This 844-nucleotide ribosomal RNA is filed under the name uncultured bacterium. RNAcentral describes it as "bacterial SSU rRNA". It matches the Rfam family "Bacterial small subunit ribosomal RNA", at positions 28 to 862 of the family's 1533-position model. The record is from RNAcentral.
GAUGAACUCUAGCUACAGGCUUAACACAUGCAAGUCGAGGGGAAACGACAUCGAAAGCUUGCUUUUGAUGGGCGUCGACCGGCGCACGGGUGAGUAACGCGUAUCCAACCUGCCCACCACUUGGGGAUAACCUUGCGAAAGUAAGACUAAUACCCAAUGAUAUCUCUAGAAGACAUCUGAAAGAGAUUAAAGAUUUAUCGGUGAUGGAUGGGGAUGCGUCUGAUUAGCUUGUUGGCGGGGUAACGGCCCACCAAGGCAACGAUCAGUAGGGGUUCUGAGAGGAAGGUCCCCCACAUUGGAACUGAGACACGGUCCAAACUCCUACGGGAGGCAGCAGUGAGGAAUAUUGGUCAAUGGACGAGAGUCUGAACCAGCCAAGUAGCGUGCAGGAAGACGGCCCUAUGGGUUGUAAACUGCUUUUAUAAGGGAAUAAAGUGAGUCUCGUGAGACUUUUUGCAUGUACCUUAUGAAUAAGGACCGGCUAAUUCCGUGCCAGCAGCCGCGGUAAUACGGAAGGUCCGGGCGUUAUCCGGAUUUAUUGGGUUUAAAGGGAGCGUAGGCCGGAGAUUAAGCGUGUUGUGAAAUGUAGAUGCUCAACAUCUGAACUGCAGCGCGAACUGGUUUCCUUGAGUACGCACAAAGUGGGCGGAAUUCGUGGUGUAGCGGUGAAAUGCUUAGAUAUCACGAAGAACUCCGAUUGCGAAGGCAGCUCACUGGAGCGCAACUGACGCUGAAGCUCGAAAGUGCGGGUAUCGAACAGGAUUAGAUACCCUGGUAGUCCGCACGGUAAACGAUAAAUGCCCGCUGUUGGUCUGAAUAGGUCAGCGGCCAAGCGAAAGCAUAA